UCCGGAUAAACCCCUUAAUUUAUGCGAAAUUGCUGAACAUUUCUUCCAAUUCGCAAUUUGGUAACAUCCCAGAACAAAGAACAGGAACUCUGUGCAAUGGCAUUAAAGCUUGUGACAUUGCAUCGUUCUUCCUGCGACAUUU
Non-coding RNA from Drosophila elegans, 142 nucleotides. NCBI's taxonomy places the organism in Eukaryota, Metazoa, Arthropoda, Insecta, Diptera, Drosophilidae. The record is from RefSeq and is a predicted model, not a curated record.